UUGAUCCUGGCUCAGAAUCAACGCUGGCGGCGUGCCUAACACAUGCAAGUCGAACGCGAAAGGGGAGCAAUCCCUGAUUAGAGUGGCAAACGGGUGAGUUACACGUGGGUGACCUGCCUUCGAGUGGGGGAUAACCUUCCGAAAGGAGGUCUAAUACCGCAUGACAUACCGUGUUUGGAUACAUGGAUAUCAAAGCCGGUGAUCGCAAGACCUGGCGCUUGAAGAGGGGCCCGCGUCCGAUUAGCUAGUUGGUGGGGUAACGGCUCACCAAGGCUCCGAUCGGUAUCCGGCCUGAGAGGUCGGACGGACACACUGGAACUGAGACACGGUCCAGACUCCUACGGGAGGCUGCAGUGGGGAAUUGUUCGCAAUGGGCGAAAGCCUGACGACGCAACGCCGUGUGGAGGAUGAAGAAUUUCGGUUCGUAAACUCCUUUCGACCGAGAUGAAUAUCCGCCGACUUAACACGUCGGCGGACUGACAGUAUCGAGAGAAGAAGCUCCGGCUAACUCUGUGCCAGCAGCCGCGGUAAUAAGGU
Molecule: ribosomal RNA, 537 nt
Filed under: uncultured Acidobacteriota bacterium
Lineage: Bacteria; Pseudomonadati; Acidobacteriota
Description: bacterial SSU rRNA
Rfam family: Bacterial small subunit ribosomal RNA
Source: RNAcentral